Trichomycterus rosablanca is the source of this 490-nucleotide long non-coding RNA. RefSeq lists it as uncharacterized. NCBI's taxonomy places the organism in Eukaryota, Metazoa, Chordata, Actinopteri, Siluriformes, Trichomycteridae. The transcript is spliced from 3 exons. The record is from RefSeq and is a predicted model, not a curated record.
CUGUGUAUCCGUUCAAUGUACGACCCGCAUCUUCACCUUGCUCCUAAGCAACGGAAUGGAAAACGAUCCAGGGCUGCUUAAUUCUGGUCAGGGUCACAGCAGGUCUGGAUCAACCAGGAAACACUGGGCACAAGACAGGAAUACCCUGGACAGGAAAACAAUCCAUCACAGGGCCUCUCUUACAUCUUCAUUUCUUUACCUUAAAGCAGAUUGGUUCUGCAUAAUUUUUGGAGGUGCAAACAAAACCAGAGAACCUAGAGAAAACCUACAGGAGCACUGGAAGAACAUACUAAACUCAAAUCACUAACAAAAGAUGAGGGCGAGAAGGAGUAGGAGGAAGAGUUAUGAGUGUGUGAUUUUGCUCUGUCUCUUCAUGGCACGAACUCAUACACUGCACAUUGUGCAGGAGGUGAACAGGUCGUGACCGCAUUACUAAAUUACAGGUCACACAGCUGCACUGAUCAGCCUCAUUUUUCUUUUUCUUCACUAU